UUUUUUUUUAAAGUCUUCAUGGAUUUGUUUUGUCCCUAAGGGUGAGGGAGUUAGAUGUGAGAUAAUAUCUCACAUCUAGAUGUGAAAUAGUUGUGCUUUUAAGAUUUUGCAGCAAACCAAAGAACACGAUUUUGCACCAGUCCUCUCCUCCCUCGGCCGGUCGGCCCUCGCUAGCUCCGUCGAUGCUGGUGCGAUUCCGGCUAGUCAGCACAAACGCUGAAGUCACUAGAGACGCUGCGUUUUGACGAGCGUGGUCGGACCGGCGAAACCGUUCCUGGUCCAAAGAGAGGAAGGGUCGUGGUCGUGCUCCCACCUGCCGUGGAAACUCCGACGAUGUUGAUUUGAUUCCAAAGUGGCGUCAACGCGACUAGGAAUUAAGCAGGUAAGAGCAUCACCACUCGUUUGCGGGCAGGAGGCAUUUUUUUCGCCGCUUGGGGGCUGCCGGCGAGAAUUUUGGCCUAGGGAGGGGGCAAAAAAUUUCACUCGUUGCGCCCCCCACGAGCAGUGUUGGGCUCCCUCGGAGGCAGCGGCAUUUCGUCGAGCAUCUUGACUGCGGCGGCGUCGACGACCUCCAGCCAGCGGAGGUGCGCGAGCGUCGACGGGGAAGGAGGCGAUGAGAAGCUCGAGGAGACAUCCAGCAGCCGGCAGCCGACGUCGAGUCGCAGAUCACGCCCAGGAGCAACUCAGGUCGGGGCUCCGCGCGCACCGGGAGAGCCGGUGCCGGCAUGGCAUCGCGGCGCCUGCGGUGCACUAGAAGUACAGCGCCCCGAGACGGCCAACGGCACCGGGCUGCUCUGGUUCGCAUCACUGGCACCGGCAUGGCGCGCUCCCUGCUCCCGGUGAUGCGCUCCUCUUCGCCGCCAGCGCCGCGGUGGGCGCCCUGCUGCUGCUCACACUGGCCUCGCCCUUCUCUCCGCCCGCCAUGCUGCUGCUCCUCUUCGCCGUCGGCGCCGCGGUAGGCGUUGUAACUUGCCGCGGCCCCGCCGCGCCAGCCUCCUCCCGGGCCGCGCACCGGCUCCCGCGCGCCGUCGCGUCACACCUUCGCCUGCGCCGCGCCAGGCUCCUGGGCAGGCCGCCCUCCUCCACCGUGCUGCUCCUUGUUGGAUUAAUUAUGAAUCUAUGGGAUGCCAUUAGCAGGAUCAAAUUGCAUUUAGAUCACCCAAUAACCAUGAACAGAGAAAAGUUCAGAGAUCCUUUACAUGUCAUGGGAGUGGACAUGAUCGCCUGCUCAGUGCAGGCGUGAUGCAGGGGUGAUGUAGUGGAAGCAGAGGUUCUCCUCGACGUCCUGAUUCCUUCAGGACGCCACCGGGACUAGCCGAGGACGGCAGCGGUGGCGGCUGGAGUAGGUCUUCCCGUCGCUGCAGCGCUCCCACUAUUCGGAUGGGGUGAGAGAAUAUCGGGAGGGGAGUGAAACCGUACGAGAAUUGUAAUCGCGCGGGCUGCCAACCCACUCACGUACCCCCUUUUAUCUAGCGCUGGCGACAGGGGACCUAAACCAUCAGUUGGUUUGGGUGCCCCCGAUCAGGGCGCCUCAGUUGGGAUAAAAAGCCCACGUACGUUGGUGCGUGGGGCCUUUUCAUUAACGUUAUCUUCCUUUUUUCUGUUAGACUAAUAGAUCUAACUGGCCUGUUAAGCCGUCAGAUCAAACCAACAUUCUCCCCCUUGAUCGUUAGGCUUAACUUCAUUCGCCCAUUCUACAUAGGAAUGAUGUACCAAAGUGAGGUGUUACAACAGCUCGAAACGCCAUAGAACCUCAACACUUAUAGCACACCCGCCUAUUUCGAAAUGGAAAACGUUUUGGUAAUUGGGGAGUGGUUUAUUUUAAUGGUCCUCUUAUUCCAGAAUCAUAAGGCUGAGAAGCAAUGGAACGGACGUCAUCUAGCAAUGACCAAGAAGAGGUCCUGAACACCUACUUACGUCAAACAUAACACAGACCGUGUUCACUUCCCGGACUCCGCCGAGAAGAGACCAUCACGGUUACACACGCACUUGGUGUAUUUUAAUUGGGUCAAGUGACAAGUUAUCUACAACCGGACAUUGACAAAUUCUCAUCUGCCUCAUAACCGCGGGCACGGCUUUCGAAAGAUAAUACCCUGCAGGGGUGUCCCAACUUAGCCCAUCAUAAGCUCUCACGGUCAACGAAGGAUAAACCUUCUCCCGGAAAGACCCGAUCAGUCUCGGAGUCCCGGUUUACAAGACAUCUCGACAAUGGUAAAACAAGACCAGCAAAGCCGCCCGAAUGUGCCGACAAAUCCCGAUAGGAGCUGCACAUAUCUCGUUCUCAGGGCACACCGGAUAAGUCAAGCUACGAGUAAAACCAGACCUCGAGUUUCCCCGAGGUGGCCCCGCAGGCUGCUCGGUUCGGACCAACACUCGAAGGAGCACUGGCCCGGGGGGGGGGUUAAAAUAAGAUGACCCUCGGGCUCGCGAAAACCCGGCGGAAAAGGCUUAGGCGGCGAAUAGUAAAACCAAAGUUGGGCCUUGCUGGAGGAGUUUUAUUCAAGGCGAACUGUCAAGGGGGUCCCAUAAAUCACCCGACCGCGUAAGGAACGCAAACUCAAGGAACAUAAUUCCGGUAUAACAGUAACUAGGGCGGCAAGAGUGGAACAAAACACCAGGCAUAAGGCCGAGCCUUCCACCCUUUACCAAAAUAUAUAGAUGCAUUAAUUAAAUAAGAGAUAUUGUGCUAUCCCAACAUAUCCAUGUUCCGACCUGGAACAAACUUCAACUUCACCUGCAACUAGCAACGCUAUAAAAGGGGCUGAGCAAAAGCGGUAACAUAGCCAAACAACGGUUUGCUAGGAAAGGAUGGUUAGGGGCUGACAUGGCUAAAAAUAGGAGACAUGAUAUAGCAAGUGAUAGGUAGCGAGCAUGACAAUAGAGCGAACAACUAGCAUAGCAAAGAUAGAAGUGAUUUCGAGGGGUGGUCAUCUUGCCUGCAAGGUUCUCAGAGUUGUCGAAAGCUUGAUCCUCGUAAGCGUACUCGACAAGUUCCUCGUUCACGAACUCGUCUCCCGGCUCUACCCAAGACAAGAACACAAACAAACGGAACCACAAUCAACAACGAGAAAUGCGCAAGCAACAUGAUGCAAAACAUGUAUGAUAUGCAAGAUAUGGUCUGCGAUGCAUAUGCGUGCUCCGGAAGGAAAAUGAUGAACAUGGCAGUAACUUGGCAAACCAAGCAUGCCACUGGAAAGAUGAGAUGAUUUCGGUCGAAAUCGAUAUAAAGAUCACCGGAAUCGGAUGCACGGUUUGCAAAUGACAAGCAAAACAAGAAUGACACUAAUCUGCGAUAAACAGCAAGAUAGCACUUAAAAUGCAACAAACAAUAAAGCUACCGCACCCCAACAUAGCAACAAAGCACAUGGCAGUAAUCUACAGGAGAUGCUUGACAAAAGAUGAACACUGAGUUACGGCUAGUUCACAACAUAUCAAGCUCAAACAAGCAUGGCAAAAGUGCAAAAGAUUACAGGUUCACAGACUUGGUGAAAAACUGGACAUGGCAGAAAUCAUCAUCAGGUAGCAAUGUUCAGAGCACGAAAUCAACAUGCUACAGGAACUUAACAUAGCAAAACAAGGCAUGGUAGUGUUCUACUAAAUGCACACGACAAAAGUCCCUUACUGACCAUAAGCCAAAAAGGAUCAGAAGAUAUGAUGGCAAGCAUGUAAACAUAGCAAGUUUCGUUAUCAGGUUUCAGACUUAGCAGAAAACAGAGCAUGGCAGAAAUAUUAAUAUGUAGUCCUCUUUGUGAGCUUGAUGCACUCACUACAGAGCAAUGCAUCACAAACCAAGCAUACCUACAGCAAGAUGGCAUGUCUAUGAAGCUAUCCAUAUCAAGAACAAUUGCAUAGCAUGUAUGGAUCAAUUACAAUAAGCUUGGCAAGAUUGCAAAUCAUGUUAAGAAUCUGCCAGAAAUAUUUUAUAGCAAACGUAGAGCAAAAUUGAGUCAUGCUAUGGCACUCUAAAAUUUCAAACAAUUGCAGGAAUGGAUCAAUUACAACUAUAGCUACAAAACAUCCUUACUUAACAUCUCCAAAAUAUGCAUGGAUCUCUCUGUAGCAUCAAGUUUACAUGGCAACAAAAUUACAGCAGACAAGACAGAAAUCACUAAGUCCCUGAAAUCAGAAAUAUUACGGGGCCUACUUUGCAUGCUUGUGCUAGUCACCACAAAGAUCACCAAAAUACAUGGACUACACCACUGGAAAUAUGGCAUGGCAUACUUCAAAACACAUGUAGAUCUCAUGCUCAAAAGAUGCACAGAAUAAAUGAUACAAAAAUGACAAAUCUCCAAGUUCUGACAAGAACCAGAGAUUAACAGCAACUAGCCCUCUUCCAACGAAGAUUUGGGCAUCAAGAUGACCUCUAAUGAAAAUGGUGCAAUUGAACAAAAUGAAGAGCAUCACGAGAUGAACAAUUUGACAUAUUAUACGCGCCAAUCGGAGCUACAUGCACAAAGUUAUCGCAACGGAAACAGGAGCACAUGCGGAUAGAAAAAUACAGAGGGGCGAGAAAUCAACGGGCUCACAGAUCUGGAUCGAGCUCCCGAGCUCGGGCUCGACCGGAGGCGAGGCAGGGGCCGACGAGGCGAGGGGCGAGGGGGCCGGAGGCGGUCGCCGGCGGCGGGGCUGGACCGGAGGCGNNNNNNNNNNNNNNNNNNNNNNNNNNNNNNNNNNNNNNNNNNNNNNNNNNNNNNNNNNNNNNNNNNNNNNNNNNNNNNNNNNNNNNNNNNNNNNNNNNNNNNNNNNNNNNNNNNNNNNNNNNNNNNNNNNNNNNNNNNNNNNNNNNNNNNNNNNNNNNNNNNNNNNNNNNNNNNNNNNNNNNNNNNNNNNNNNNNNNNNNNNNNNNNNNNNNNNNNNNNNNNNNNNNNNNNNNNNNNNNNNNNNNNNNNNNNNNNNNNNNNNNNNNCCGGGAACGGGCCCGCGGGCCGGCGGCGGUGGCGGUUGGACGUUGUCCGGCGCGGACGGACGCGUCCGGCGGCGCGGUGGGAAAAACGCUAGGGUUUGUCUGCGAAUCCGUUUUUCGGGAUGCCCACUUAUAAAUAGGUAGAGGGAGCUAGGAGACUCCAAAUGAGGUGCGGUUUUCGCCCACACGAUCGUGAUCGAACGACCUAGAGCAUGGAAGAGAGUUUGGUGGGCUUUGGGCUGGUUUUGGAGCGGGUUUUUGCUGGACACUCAAAUGGACUUUGCGGAUGCCCGGUUAACCGUUGGAGUACCAAACGACCUCCGAAUGGAACGAAACUUGACCGGUAGUCUCCGGGUGGUAUAUUAAGAUCACUUGACAAGCCUCGGUCCAUUCCGAGAAAGUUUGACACACGCACACGAAAGAAAACUAGAGGGGUGCACCGGAGGAGAUAGGAGCGCCGGAUUGGAAAACGGACAACGGGGAAAAUGCUCAGAUGCAUGAGACGAACACGUAUGCGAAUGCAAUGCACAUGAUGACAUGAUAUGAAAAUGCAAGACAUGACAAAAUACAAAACGAAAAACAAAACCCGACAACGGAGGGAAAAACAUAUCACAUAGCCGAAAAUGGCAAGAGUCGGAGUUACAAAUAUGGCAAGUUACAUGCGGGGUGUUACACAAAGUAUGCUUUUUGAGAUAGUCCUAACGUUCCCCUGGACCUAUCUCAAUGAAUCUCGAUGCCGAGGACAUACGAGGCUUCACCAAGAUCUUUCAUAUCAAAACUGGAUGACAGAAAAUUCUUGGUCUCAUGCAGCAUAUCCUUAUCGCUACAUGCCAACAAUAUGUCAUCAACGUAUAGGACUAAAAAUGUGAACCUACUGCCUUUAAACUUAACGUAUAUGCAGUUGUCCACAACAUUUUCGGUGAAACCAAAAGUUUUGAUAAUUUUAUCAAACUUGAGGUACCACUCUCUUGAAGCUUGCUUCAAGCCAUAAAUUGAUUUCUUUAGACGACAUGCUAAAUGUUCCUUCCCUUCCAUAACAAAGCCUUCUGGCUGAGCCAUGUAAACGUUUUCUUUUAAGUCACCAUUCAGAAAUGUCGUUUUAACAUCCAUUUGGUGUAGUUCUAGGUCGUAAUGAGCUACUAAUGCCAUUAUGAUUCUAAAAGAAUCCUUGGUUGACAAAUGAGAGAAGGUUUGCUUAUAAUCAAUGCAUUCUCUUUGUGUAUACCUUUUUGCCACUAGCCUUGCCUUGAACCGUUCGACAUUCCCUUUGGAAUCAUACUUGGUUUUGUAGACCCACUUGCGGCCUACUUUCUUAGCUCCAUCGGGAACUUCUACUAAGUCCCAAACGUAGUUUGAGCCCAUAGACUUCAACUCGUCUUCCAUGGCAACCAACCACUUGGAUGAAUUUUCGCUUUUAAUGGCUUCCUUAUAAGAGGUUGGAUCCUCCACCUUUCCCAGAUCAUUCAUAUCCUCAAUCAUGUAUGUGAUAUAAUCAUCUGAUAUGGCUUUCUUUCUCUCACGACGUGGCCUGCCCACAGGAGGAGGUGGUGGAGGAGCAUCAUUGUUCUGAGGGUCAUCUUCAUUACCCGACUGGUGAUCCUCUUCACCUUCUGGAUUGACAUUAGUUUCAGGAUCACCAUCAGCCUCAGGACCUGAAGUACUAGAUUGAGGAUUAGCAUGAGACGUCACUACACUUUGUAGUGGCAAAACAAUCUCUUGGAUAGUCGGGGAUGGAACACACGCCUGUUUCUCCUCAAGAUUGAUCUCCCUUAUUUCGGUGGCUUCGUUAUCCUCAAAAAGUACUGCUUGUCGAGUCUCCACAUACUUGGUGGUGUGACCCGGACAAUAGAAACGGUAUCCCUUUCCCCUAUGAGGGUAUCCAAUGAAGAAACAACUAACUGUCUUUGGAUCUAAUUUCUUAAGUUGUGGAUUGAAAAUUCUAGCCUUCGCGGGACAGCCCCAUACACGUAAGUAAUUCAAGCUCGGUUUCUUUCCCGUCCACAUCUCGUAAGGUGUGUUCGGUGCUGCUUUAGUAGGAGCGAGAUUUAGCACAUGUGCGGCCGUCUUUAAUGCCUCCAUCCAUAGGCUGAGUGGUAAACUUGCAUGACUGAGCAUGCUUUGCACCAUGUCCAUAAGUGUGCGGUUUCGGCGUUCAGCCACGCCAUUUUGUUGAGGUUCACCAGGCAUUGAAUACUGGGCAACAAUUCCAUUCUCAGAGAGAAACUUAGCAAAAGGUCCUGGAAUUUGCCCAUAAGGGGCAUGCCUACCAUAAUACUCUCCCCCGCGAUCUGAUCGUACAGCUUUUAUUUUAGUGUUUAGUUGGUUCUCAACUUCGGCUUUGAACACUUUGAAUUUGUCCAAAGCUUCCGAUCGAUCACGUAUAGGAUAAAUAUAUCCGUAUCGAGAAAAGUCGUCUGUGAGGUAAUGAACGAAUCAAAACCAUCCAUAGACUUAAUAUUAAGGGGUCCACAUAUGUCAGUGUGUAUGAGUUCAAGGACACCCGUGGCUCUUACCGCUCCUUUCUUAACCGUUUUUGCGUAUUUACCUUUUAUACAGUCAAUGCAUUUGUCUGCAUCAGAGAAGUCUAAUGGGAGGAGUACGUCAUUUUUAAUAAGUCUUUCAAUUCUCCCCCUCGAAAUGUGGCCUAAACGACGAUGCCACAAUUUCAAAGAGGUACUCGUACCCUUCCAUUUCUUCUCAAUAUUACAUACAUCACUCACAUGCAGGAUAUAAUCAUUCAAUGAUAACAUAUAUCAUUGGCCUUGUCUGACACCGAGGCCUACGUUCUUAUUACAAUAAUUCAAAAUGAAUUGUUUGUUCCCAAACUUGCUCUCAAACAUGUUAUCAUCUAGGCAAGAGACAGAAAUCAAAUUCCUACUUAAGGUAGGGACAUAAAGAACAUUAUUUAAAUGAAGACGGAAGCCAGUGUGGAGUUCUAAGGUGAUUGACCCUAUGGCUUCAACAUCAACUUCGACUCCAUUUGCCACCUUAAGUCUUCUUGCCCCCUUUGCCAUGGUUUGGAUUAUAUUUGAGUCUUGCAUAGAAUUAGCAACAUGAGAAGUUGCACCUGAAUCAAUCCACCAAGAGGUAGUAGAGUAAUCAACAUAUAACAUUUCAUCAACGAAAGUAAUUUCAUCAGUACCUUUCUUCAUCAACCAUUUGAGGAAUUCUGGACAGUCUUUCUGAUAAUGGCCCUCAUUCUUGCAGAAGUUGCACUUGUUGUCUUUAGGCUUAUCGUCCACCUUCUCCUUUGCUUUAUAUGAGUUUGAUGAAUUUUCUUAAAGAACUUCUUUUGUGGUUGUUGCUUAGAAGAGCUUGCUCCAUCGUGUUUUCUCUUGGAGGAGCCAACCAUAAAGGCUUGGUCCUUUCCUUGCCUCUUAAUCCUCUCUUCUUCCUCGACAAUUCUUGGAGAUAUCUCCGCGAUUGUCCAUUUCUCUUUAAGAGAGUUAUAGUUAACCUUAAAUUGAUCAAACUCUUUAGUGAGGGAGUCCAAGAUCAUGAUGACAAGGAGAUUGUCAUUGAGCUCACAUUGUAAUGCCUUCAAUUUGUUACAAGCAUUCACCAUCUUUAAAAUGUGAGCCCUGACAUCACCAUCAUUAUUAUACUUGCUUGUGAAAAAGUUCUUGCGCAUAAACCUUGUCGGAGCCUUUAAAUUGCUCCUCCGGGGCUGCCAUGAAUUCCUUAGGAGUAUCUUUCUUGGGUAGUGCCCCAAUUAUGUCAGGUGAUAUGGAUGAUCUCAUCACAAGCAUAGCAAUGUGAUUUGACUUUUCCCAUAUCUCCAUCUUGGAAUCAUAAGUUUUCUUUAGUUCAGCAUACCCCGUGACACCAGCAGCGGGAGCCACGGGUUUAUCCUCCCCUAAGGCAUAAUCAAACUGAUGGACGGCUAGGCAUAAUUCCAUCGAGUUCUUCCAAUGAGGGAAGUUACUACCUGUCAACGGUUCGACAGUAAACGCAAGGGAAGCUGUAAUGGACAUGAAAGAGUUUAUGAGUAAUUGACAUGAACAUGAAAUUUUACGUCAAAAUAGACAUGCCAUGUAUUUAAUUUCAACUCCAUGUCAAAACAGCGUUGGGCAGAAAAAACAUGGAAUUAAAAUAUCAUAAGUGAUGACUCAUAAUAAUAAAACAACGUUGGUCCGAAUUAAAAUCAGAGUCAUUUCAUUCUCAAUUUAGACAUCAACAUAAGAAAAAUAUCAUUAUUUUUUAUGUCUAAAAAAAUUCAUCAUGCAAACAAAUAAUAAAUCCUGAACAAAAUAUCUCGUUGGUUCAAUUUUACCCAGAAUAAUAAUGUGUUCAUUAUAUUUUUAGGCAUUUUCUGUUUUAAACAGUGCAAAACAUAAAAGAUAUUAACUUACUGUGCACUGGAAAUUACAGAAAAAUGCGAUGGCCCAAAUGUAACGCCCCGAGACCGAUGCUCCAGAAGCCUUCAAUGUUCUUCGUUGUCGUUGUGUGUUUUAUUUGUUUGUUGCAUUCAUCAUUGCAUCAUCCGCAUUGCAUCCGCUUGUUUUCUUAAAACUUGCAUCCAUUCGUAGUUCCCGCUUCUCCCUGUCGCCUCCGUUGACCGUUCUCAGUCCAACUGUUCUUUUGUUGUCCGGCCAUUUGAACCUCCCUACACAGUGCUUCGACCCCUCUCGCGCGUCCGAAACUUCCCCGAACCCGAAUCGGACUAUCGUUACCGUUGGGUCCGGAUCAUCCCCUAACAUCUACAAAACAUCUCUGUUUUCUUAUUUGGACUCCCUAUCUAUUUUUCUCGACCGCCCGAUUACGAUCGGACGGACCGAGUUAAUCCCUACCCUAAUCCCCUACCUAUUUAAAUAGACUAACCCUAAAACCGAGGGACCUUGUCCCAUCCACCCGUCGCCUCCGCCGCCACUCCACCCAAAUUCCCCUCGGGAUCCAUCCCCAAUCAGCCUAGCUACCUUCCUCCUACCCGCACCCGCAGCCAUCCAACCAGCGCCCGAGCCCGAGCUCCUUCGAUCGGAGCCACCAAGAGAUCCCUGCUGCCCCGACCGAGAGCGAGCUUCUCCCGUUUGCUCCUCUCUCCAUGGCGCCGUCGCCGCCGGCGAACCCAGCCACCCCGAGUUCCUCUCGUGCUCCUCCCAUGGCGCCCUCGUUCCCGAGCACGGCGACCCCGCCGCCUUGAACUCCCGUGCGUGCAUCCACUUGUUCUCGUCGCCCUCCGUCUUCUUCGCAGCACCACAGGACCAGCAGCUCCACCGCGCGUGCCCGUCUUCGGCGACCUCGUCCUUCACGUGCUGCCGGUCAAGUCCCUCUCCUUCCCUUUUCUCUCUUCUCCCAUGGCCACUCUGUUUCCCCGUCUCCCUCACCUCUCUCUCCUCUUCAGGAACCCCACGACGCUGCCGUAGACCCAGCCAUGGCGCCCAUGGAGUCCCAAGCAGCAGUCGUCCGCCUCCGGCGAGAACCGACCGUCUCCGACCGGAUCCGCUGCGGAUCCAGCCCUCCCGCUGCUGCCUCGCCAGCCUCGCUCACGCCCCUGCUCGCCGGCGCCAAGUCCCUGUCGCCGCUGCUCUACUUCCCUGUCGAGCAGAGGACGCCCGUCCCAGCCGCGUUGACCGCACCGAUCCACGACACCUGAACACCCGCGGGUCGGCCUCCUCCGCGCCAAGGCCAAGCGCGCCCCUUCGCGGCCUGCCUAGCCUCCUCCCCACCGAACUGGGCCUGGCUCAUGGUGAGCACCCCAGCGCCCAGCAAGUUUCGGCCCGUAGUAUUUUUUUUCUGCUGCGGUGAUUUUCGCAUUUAUCCAGGAGAUUACAGAUUUGCAGAAAAACCCUUGAACUUCAUGCAUAUAAUAACUCACAAAUGGUGCAUCGGAUUAAAAUGAUUUUAACAUGUAAAAAUGCUCAGAAAUUUGUGUAGUUAAAUAAUAUGCCACUUUCACCCAUGUUAAAAUUGUUUAAAAUGUUGUUUGAUUAGAUUUUCUCGAAUAAUAUGUUAAAAUGAUUUAUUUCAUAACUAAAUAACCGUAGCUCGGAUUAUAAUAAACUUUAUAUGUAAAUGGGGUAGAAAAAUGCCUAGUUUAACUUGGUGCACUUCAUUUUGCUGUUUAACAAUAUUAAAAUUGCGUUUAUGGCAGAACAGUACCAAUCCCAAUAUAUGGACAUGAGGAUUUUCCGGAAUUGUUGUUGUUUGUUUCCGGCCUCAUUUAACUUGCUUAAAUAGGUAGUUUCCUUAUGCUUCACCUCUUGCCAUGGUUAAUAACAUUUAAUAUUGUUGGUUACUUAAACAAGAGCGAACUAAAUAACUCCAAUGUGGUGUUUCGUCAAUAUGCAACUCGUUGCAUAUUGAGCUCCACUUAAUUUGUAGUGUUGUUUGUUGCACUUUGCUAUGCCAUGCAUAUUUAAACCGGACAUGCAUCAUAUUUGUUUUUUUUGCAUCAUGCCAUGUGUAUGUGGUGGUUUGUUUACUUUGUUGUUUGUUUCUUUCCGGGUUGCUUCUCUCGUUAGCUUCGGUUUCAUUCCGGAGUUGUGAGGAUUCGUUCGACUACGUUCGUUUGUCUUCUUCAUGGACUCGUUCUUCUUCCUAGCGGGAUCUCAGGCAAGAUGACCAUACCCUCGAAAUCACUUCUAUCUUUGCUUGCUAGCUGUUCGCUCUAUCGCUAUGCCGCGCUACCUACCACUUGCUUAUCAAGCCUCCCAAGUUGCCAUGAACCUCUAACCUUUGUCACCCUUCCUAGCAAACCGUUGUUUGGCUAUGUUACCGCUUUUGCUCAGCCCCUUCUUAUAGCGUUGCUAGUUGCAGGUGAAGAUUAAGUUUGUUCCUUGUUGGACCAUGGAUUUUAUGAACUCUGUUGGGAUAUCACAAUAUCUCUUAUCUUAAUUAAUGCAUCUAUAUACUUGGCAAAGGGUGGAAGGCUCGGCCUUAUGCCUGGUGUUUUGUUCCACUCUUGCCGCCCUAGUUUCCGUCAUACCGGUGUUAUGUUCCUUGAUUUUGCGUUCCUUACGCGGUUGGGUGAUUUAUGGGACCCCCUUGAUAGUUCGCUUUGAAUAAAACUCCUCCAGCAAGGCCCAACCUUGGUUUUACCAUUUGCCUACCUAAGCCUUUUUCCCUUGGGUUCUGCAGACUCAAGGGUCAUCUUUAUUUUAAACCCCCGGGCCAGUUCUCCUUCGAGUGCUGGUCCAAACCGAGCGAUGUCCGGCGCCCCCUGGGCAACCAGGGUCUAUGCCAACCCGACGUCUUGCUCAUCCGGUGUGCCCUGAGAACGAGAUAUGUGCAGCUCCUAUCGGGAUUUGUCGGCACAUCGGGCGGCUUUGCUGGUCUUGUUUUACCAUUGUCGAAAUGUCUUGUAAACCGGGAUUCCGAGACUGAUCGGGUCUUCCCGGGAGAAGGUUUAUCCUUCGUUGACCGUGAGAGCUUAUGAUGGGCUAAGUUGGGACACCCCUACAGGGUUUUAUCUUUCGAAAGCCGUGCCCGCGGUUAUGUGGCAGAUGGGAAUUUGUUAACGUCCGGUUGUAGAGAACUUGACACUUAACCUUAAUUAAAACGCAUCAACCGUGUGUGUAGCCGUGAUGGUCGCUUCUCGGCGGAGUCCGGGAGGUGAACACGGUUUCUGGGUUAUGUUUGACGUAAGUAAGAGUUCAGGAUCACUUCUUGAUCAUUGCUAGUUCACGACCGUUCCGUUGCUUCUCUUCUCGCUCUCUUUUGCGCAAGUUAGCCACCAUAUAUGCUUAUUGCCGCUGCAGCUCCACCUCAUUACACCAUCCUCUCCUAUAAGCUUAAAUAGUCUUGAUCUCGCGGGUGUGAGAUUGCUGAGUCCUCGUGACUCACAGAUACUUCCAAAACAGUUGCAGGUGCCGUUGAUACCAGUGCAGGUGACGCAACUGAGCUCAAGUGGGAGCUCGAUGAAGAUCUUGUUCGUUCUGUUGUUUCUUUUCAUAUUGAUCAGUAGUGGUGCCCAGUUGGGACGAUCAGGGAUCUAGCAGUUGGGUUGUCUUCUUUUAUUUUGGUUCCGUAGUCGGACCUAUGUGUGUACUCUGGUUGAUGUAUGAUUUAUUUAUGUAUGGUGUGAAGUGGCGAUUGUAAGCCAACUCUUUAUCCCAUUCUUGUUGAUUACAUGGGAUUGUGUGAAGAUGACCCUUCUGGCGACAAAACCACAAUGCGGUUAUGCCUCUAAGUCGUGCCUCGACACGUGGGAGAUAUAGCCGCAUCAUGGGUGUUACAAGUUGGUAAUCAGAGCCAUCCCCGACUUAGGAGCCCCCUGCUUGAUCGAAUCGCUGGCGUUGUUGAGUCUAGAACAAAAAUGUUUUGAGUCUUAGGACUAUAUAUAUCGGAGAGUAGGAUUCUUUUUACUCCUCAGUCCCUUCGUUGCUCUGGUGAGGCCUCCUGACGUAGAAGUUUUGACUUUUCUCUCCUCAAAUUUCACUAAAAAAAAUUUAGGAUCACGCGGGUAUCUUGGAAUCGUUCCGAUGGUUUUGUGACGAGAACAUUGUUCUUGGUGCCUCCUGACAUUUAGGGGUUGUGGCAGUGUCCUGGGGAGUUGAGCUCCGAGGUGUUGUCGUCACAAUUUUAUCGUUGCAGUUCUGGAAUACCUGAGUUUUGCCGACAUCGAAAUCUCUUUUAUGCAGUUGUUGGUGAGAUCACCUCGACGCCACCCAGUACUGGGGUGGGAGUUCGGGAGUAUUGCCAUAACUCGUAUAACGGAUGCUUUUCGAAGGUUGAGGUAAACGAUUUUCGAAGGUUUCUUGGUUAUGUGUUGAAGGAUGGAUACAGCUGGAUCUAGGUAUUGUUAGUUUGGGUGAUAUAUUUUGUGUCCCCUGUAUCCCCAACACCUGACUGCAUAACCAGAAAGUUUCGGGAGUUUAUAAGUGGGAAUUCAAGUAGCUCCUAGGAUAUCUUUCCGACAGACGCAUGAUAUGAGAUUGGGGUUUGACGUCUAGUGGUCCGCCUGUACACUAUUGGUUUUACAGUGGUCUCGUAGUGUCUUAAAGAGUCCUUGGCUAUGCCGACUCGGGGACGCUUCGUAUGUCAUGUGCACUGCCUUCUACAUGAUGGUGCUGUACGAUUGAGCCCGUGUGGGCCCCACCAUGAAAACUUCAGAUGAAAUUUCUAUCAUAUGUUUGUUCCGGCUUAUUCUGUGAGCCAAUCCUUUGUUUUGUUUUUAUUUGUGGUAUUCGAGUUGCUUCGAAGUCAAAUGUUGAAUCCAUACCUUCCCUAAACGGUGUUCUCAUAUUGCUAUGUGAUUACUAAUCCUUCUUGAUCAUCGAGAUCGUCAUGUUAAUUCUUUUCCAACCGGCGUGUUUCUUUUCAAGUGCAUCCAGUCAUUCCAACGUUCGCAAGAUCGAUUCUAAGCUUUUCUCAACGGUGUUCGUUUCAUCCGACCCAAGUUGUCUUUGUUUUCCCACCCUCCCACCCUUUUUCUUCAAGGACUCAGAUUUCUUAAUCAAGUAUCCAUUCUAGUCAUGUGAAGCCCCUUCAUUCUUUUCAAUCAAUGUGCUUACCCGGUGGUUCUCAUGAAGUUGUUCUUCAAGUUUUUUAUUCUUCGUUCUUUUUCUUCUCCGGUGGACUCAAGUCAAGCUUUCAGUGGUGAUCGUAUUCUUUUCCUCGUUUCAAAUGCUUUCUUAUGUCGGUGCAUCUCUUAAUCAUUCCCCGCUUGCUAUUCAAUUGUUCCGGAGUGAUGAAGAUAUCUCAGAAGAUUCAAGUUUCCAGUCUCAAUUCUCUCAAGUUCUUUUGAGGAUGCUAUCUCAUUCAAGCCAUUUAAUUCAACUAGUACGAUCUCUCUUUUAAAUCAUUCCAACGGUGUUUCUUUUGAGUGGGCCCAUAUCCCACAGGUCUUUUUCCAGGAUCUUACCUGACUCUUCUAAUUUUUUGGAGUUAUUCUCAAAUUCAUUGCAAAAUUUGACGUAAGAAUGAAUUAUCAUCAGUUAAAUGUCUUUCUCCAAGAUCUUUUAAAUUCUUUUAAUCAUUGGUUCAACAUUUCUAAUUUUCAUUCCGGAGUGCCUCAACAAUUCAUGGUGGUGUUUCUCAUCGUCAUUCUCAACAUUUGAAGACCGAAGAAGAGUUUCUCUUAAAUAUUGCUCCAUUCUCUUCAAGAUUCAUAGUUCUAGCUUAUGCCAUCCUCUCAUAAUUGUUUUCGAUUGCGAGAAUUCUUUUGUUACCCAUCUGGAGCAUUUCAGGAGUCUUGUCAGUUUGAUUCUCCGAAGGCCAUCAUCUCAGAAGAUUUCUUCGUUCUAAGUUAUCAGCUUCGUUCUCCAAUUAUUCUAAAUUGAUGUCUCUUCGUUCUUCUCCAUAUUCUCCCGGUGCAUCACUCAAAUUUCCUCUAAUCAGUUCAUGAUAUCUUCCUUCUCGUGUAUCUAAAUUCUGUCAAGUAUCUUCAUUCAUUUUCUAAUUCUUUCCGUUGAAUUGUGCCUUUGCUACUUUCAUUUUCAAUUCUUACGGUGGUUCGUUCAAGAUUUAUCUUCCUUCGUUAUCAUAUCAAUUUAUUCGUUGUUUCAAUCCUACCGGUGGUGCGAUGAAGACCUUCCCAAGUUUGCGCAAUAUCUAUGUUAAUCCUUUCUACGAGAAUAAGUAGUAUGCAAGAUCCGUUGCUUGUCAUCAAUUUAAAUUGGUGAAGGAUACGCAUAACGUAAUUCUUAUUCUUGUUUCAUCCUAGUGUUUAAUCCCUUCUUUUGGAGUUCGUUCACGAUAUCAAACUCUCGGUUCCAAGUUGUUCAUCUUUUCUUUCCGGAGCUCCAAGUUAUUUCAAUUAUAUCAUUUCAAAGAUCCAUCUAAAUCAUUGCAAGGAUUCAUCCUGUUCUUUCAACUUCUCCUUCUUUUAUCAUCCUUCUAUUACGGGAGUUCUCACGAAGGCUCUACAUGGUGGUUCGUCAAGGAUUCCUUUCAUUUUUCAAUUGUUCUUCAAGAUUUCUCUUGAAGUCAAGAUCCGCCAAGCUAUACUCAAAGAUAAACAUGGUGUUCAACACAUGUCUUGUUUUGAGGAGUUCAAGCAUUCUUCAUCUUGCAUUCCGAAAUGCAAUUCUCUCUAUCUUAUCUUUCGAGAUGGUGUUAUAUCAUUCUUGAUAAUUACCCUUCAUGGUUCAUGAUUCACAUGUUGUCCGGAAUGACAUAUUUUAAAACCAUCAAUUUCAAUUCGUUCACGAGAUCUUUUCAAUCCUUUAAUCUCUUCGUUGGAUCUAUCUUGUGUCAUGUUUCACCUAAAGCCUUCCCUAAGGAAUAUUGCUAUUAUGGUGUCUAUCAAUGAUCCAAAAUUUCUCCUAUCCUCUCGGCGAGAGAAGUUUUCAUCUCUUCGUUGAUCUCAAGCAAGCAAUUGUUUUCGUUAGUGGCAGAAUUGCUCCUCAAGUUUCGAGAUGUCUCCAUAAGCCCACGAAGCUCAUAUCCUUUCUUUGUUGAUUUUUCAACAACUCCAUUCUUCUCCGUUCUUUUCAUUGCAUUCUUUCAUUUCUACCAGAGGCUUUGUGAUGUUGCUCUCUUCGACCAAUCAUCUUGUUUUGUCAAGAUCAUGUAAUUUUUCCUUUCUUAUCCGUCUAGCCGGAGUGUCAUGUUUUCAUUCGAGUUCUCUCAUCUUAUCAAGUUUUGUCUCCUUCCUCAACCGGAGUGCUGUCUGAAAUCUUUCUUACCCCUUGUGCCAUUCUAGCAUUAGUUCCGGAGGCAAUGUGUUGUUAAUUUCAUCGAGUAUCCUCUCAUCUUGUCAAGAUCAUGUUCAAUUCCUUCCAUUUAAAGUCGGAGUGCUGCCCAAAUUAUAUCAUUCUUAUUCCUUCUCUAUCUUGUUUUAACCGGAGUGGUUUAAAUAUCUAUUGUGUCACUUAACCUCAAGGUUCUCAUGGUGUUCCUUGUCUCUCUUGUCUACCGGAGUCUUCUCAAUUUUGUUCACCUCUGUCGUGUCAUUUCUUCAAGCUUUGCAACCUCUCAAGGUUCUUUGGUUUCACUCGUUUGUCAAAGAAGCAACUUAGUUUUACCUCUUCUCUUCCUCUUCCGUUUUUCUCCGGUGCCGUCCUAGAUCUCGGGACGAGAUCCUCUUGUAGUGGUGGAGUGUUGUAACUCCCCGAGACCGAUGCUCCAGAAGCCUUCAAUGUUCUUCGUUGUCGUUGUGUGUUUUAUUUGUUUGUUGCAUUCAUCAUUGCAUCAUCCGCAUUGCAUCCGCUUGUUUUCUUAAAACUUGCAUCCAUUCGUAGUUCCUGCUUCUCCCUGUCGCCUCCGUUGACCGUUCUCAGUCCAACUGUUCUUUUGUUGUCCGGCCAUUUGAACCUUUCUGCACAGUGCUUCGACCCCUCUCGCGCGUCCGAAACUUCCCCGAACCCGAACCGGACUAUCGUUACCGUUGGGUCCGGAUCAUCCCCUAACAUCUACAAAACAUCUCCGUUUUCUUAUUUGGACUCCAUAUCUAUUUUUCUCGACCGCCCGAUUACGAUCGGACGGACCGAGUUAAUCCCUACCCUAAUCCCCUACCUAUUUAAAUAGACUAACCCUAAAACCUAGGGAUCUUGUCCCAUCCACCCGUCGCCUCCGCCGCCACUCCACCCAAAUUCCCCUCGGGAUCCAUCCCCAAUCAGCCUAGCUACCUUCCUCCUACCCGCACCCGCAGCCAUCCAACCAGCGCCCGAGCCCGAGCUCCUUCGAUCGGAGCCACCAAGAGAUCCCUGCUGCCCCGACCGAGAGCGAGCUUCUCCCGUUUGCUCCUCUCUCCAUGGCGUCGUCGCCGCCGGCGAACCCAGCCACCCCGAGUUCCUCUCGUGCUCCUCCCAUGGCGCCCUCGUUCCCGAGCACGGCGACCCCGCCGCCUCGAACUCCCGUGCGUGCAUCCACUUGUUCUCGUCGCCCUCCGUCUUCUUCGCAGCACCACAGGACCAGCAGCUCCACCGCGCGUGCCCGUCUCCGGCGACCUCGUCCUUCACGUGCUGCCGGUCAAGUCCCUCUCCUUCCCUUUUCUCUCUUCUCCCAUGGCCACUCUGUUUCCCCGUCUCCCUCACCUCUCUCUCCUCUUCAGGAACCCCACGACGCUGCCGUAGACCCAGCCAUGGCGCCCAUGGAGUCCCAAGCAGCAGUCGUCCGCCUCCGGCGAGAACCGACCGUCUCCGACCGGAUCCGCUGCGGAUCCAGCCCUCCCGCUGCUGCCUCGCCAGCCUCGCUCACGCCCCUGCUCGCCGGCGCCAAGUCCCUGUCGCCGCUGCUCUGCUUCCCUGUCGAGCAGAGGACGCCCGUCCCAGCCGCGUUGACCGCACCGAUCCACGACACCUGAACACCCGCGGGUCGGCCUCCUCCGCGCCAAGGCCAAGCGCGCCCCUUCGUGGCCUGCCCAGCCUCCUCCCCACCGAACUGGGCCUGGCCCAUGGUGAGCACCCCAGCGCCCAGCAAGUUUCGGCCCGUAGUAUUUUUUUUCUGCUGCGGUGAUUUUCGCAUUUAUCCAGGAGAUUACAGAUUUGCAGAAAAACCCUUGAACUUCAUGCAUAUAAUAACUCACAAAUGGUGCAUCGGAUUAAAAUGAUUUUAACAUGUAAAAUGCUCAGAAAUUUGUGUAUUUUAAUAAUAUGCCACUUUCACCCAUGUUAAAAUUGUUUAAAAUGUUGUUUGAUUAGAUUUGCUCGAAUAAUAUGUUAAAAUGAUUUAUUUCAUAACUAAAUAACCGUAGCUCGGAUUAUAAUAAACUUUAUAUGUAAAUGGGGUAGAAAAAUGCCUAGUUUAACUUGGUGCACUUCAUUUUGCUGUUUAACAAUAUUAAAAUUGCGUUUAUGGCAGAACAUUACCAAUCCCAAUAUAUGGACAUGAGGAUUUUCCGGAAUUGUUGUUGUUUGUUUCCGGCCUCAUUUAACUUGCUUAAAUAGGUAGUUUCCUUAUGCUUCACCUCUUGCCAUGGUUAAUAACAUUUAAUAUUGUUGGUUACUUAAACAAGAGCGAACUAAAUGACUCGAAUGUGGUGUUUCGUCAAUAUGCAACUCGUUGCAUAUUGAGCUCCACUUAAUUUGUAGUGUUGUUUGUUGCACUUUGCUAUGCCAUGCAUAUUUAAACCGGACAUGCAUCAUAUUUGUUUUUUUUUGCAUCAUGCCAUGUGUAUGUGGUGGUUUGUUUACUUUGUUGUUUGUUUCUUUCCGGGUUGCUUCUCUCGUUAGCUUCGGUUUCAUUCCAGAGUUGUGAGGAUUCGUUCGACUACGUUCGUUUGUCUUCAUCAUGGACUCGUUCUUCUUCCUAGCGGGAUCUCAGGCAAGAUGACCAUACCCUCAAAAUCACUUCUAUCUUUGCUUGCUAGCUGUUCGCUCUAUCGCUAUGCCGCGCUACCUACCACUUGCUUAUCAAGCCUCCCAAGUUGCCAUGAACCUCUAACCUUUGUCACCCUUCCUAGCAAACCGUUGUUUGGCUAUGUUACCGCUUUUGCUCAGCCCCUUCUUAUAGCGUUGCUAGUUGCAGGUGAAGAUUAAGUUUGUUCCUUGUUGGACCAUGGAUUUUAUGAACUCUGUUGGGAUAUCACAAUAUCUCUUAUCUUAAUUAAUGCAUCUAUAUACUUGGCAAAGGGUGGAAGGCUCGGCCUUAUGCCUGGUGUUUUGUUCCACUCUUGCCGCCCUAGUUUCCGUCAUACCGGUGUUAUGUUCCUUGAUUUUGCGUUCCUUACGCGGUUGGGUGAUUUAUGGGACCCCCUUGAUAGUUCGCUUUGAAUAAAACUCCUCCAGCAAGGCCCAACCUUGGUUUUACCAUUUGCCUACCUAAGCCUUUUUCCCUUGGGUUCUGCAGACUCAAGGGUCAUCUUUAUUUUAAACCCCCGGGCCAGUUCUCCUUCGAGUGCUGGUCCAAACCGAGCGAUGUCCGGCGCCCCCUGGGCAACCAGGGUCUAUGCCAACCCGACGUCUUGCUCAUCCGGUGUGCCCUGAGAACGAGAUAUGUGCAGCUCCUAUCGGGAUUUGUCGGCACAUCGGGCGGCUUUGCUGGUCUUGUUUUACCAUUGUCGAAAUGUCUUGUAAACCGGGAUUCCGAGACUGAUCGGGUCUUCCCGGGAGAAGGUUUAUCCUUCGUUGACCGUGAGAGCUUAUGAUGGGCUAAGUUGGGACACCCCUACAGGGUUUUAUCUUUCGAAAGCCGUGCCCGCGGUUAUGUGGCAGAUGGGAAUUUGUUAACGUCCGGUUGUAGAGAACUUGACACUUAACCUUAAUUAAAACGCAUCAACCGUGUGUGUAGCCGUGAUGGUCGCUUCUCGGCGGAGUCCGGGAGGUGAACACGGUUUCUGGGUUAUGUUUGACGUAAGUAAGAGUUCAGGAUCACUUCUUGAUCAUUGCUAGUUCACGACCGUUCCGUUGCUUCUCUUCUCGCUCUCUUUUGCGCAAGUUAGCCACCAUAUAUGCUUAUUGCCGCUGCAGCUCCACCUCAUUACACCAUCCUCUCCUAUAAGCUUAAAUAGUCUUGAUCUCGCGGGUGUGAGAUUGCUGAGUCCUCGUGACUCACAGAUACUUCCAAAACAGUUGCAGGUGCCGUUGAUACCAGUGCAGGUGACGCAACUGAGCUCAAGUGGGAGCUCGAUGAAGAUCUUGUUCAUUCUGUUGUUUCUUUUCAUAUUGAUCAGUAGUGGUGCCCAGUUGGGACGAUCAGGGAUCUAGCAGUUGGGUUGUCUUCUUUUAUUUUGGUUCCGUAGUCGGACCUAUGUGUGUACUCUGAUUGAUGUAUGAUUUAUUUAUGUAUUGUGUGAAGUGGCGAUUGUAAGCCAACUCUUUAUCCCAUUCUUGUUCAUUACAUGGGAUUGUGUGAAGAUGACCCUUCUGGCGACAAAACCACAAUGUGGUUAUGCCUCUAAGUGGUGCCUCGACACGUGGGAGAUAUAGCCGCAUCGUGGGCGUUACACCAAAAUACCCACGGUUAUACAACGGCCCAACCCAGCAGCGAAAACCGUAAAGAGAAAAAAAACGCGCUGGGCUUAGGCAACCUGGGCUGAAGCCUGUGGCCGAAAAUGGCCCAUUAAGCGCUCCCAGGCCUGCGCGGAGCCGAGCAUUGCUGCCAGCCGCCCGAUGGGAAUGGACGGUCCGCGUCGAUCGCGGCUGGAACAAAACAGCCGCCCGGCCAGAACCCUAGCGCAUUUCCCCCNNNNNNNNNNNNNNNNNNNNNNNNNNNNNNNNNNNNNNNNNNNNNNNNNNNNNNNNNNNNNNNNNNNNNNNNNNNNNNNNNNNNNNNNNNNNNNNNNNNNNNNNNNNNNNNNNNNNNNNNNNNNNNNNNNNNNNNNNNNNNNNNNNNNNNNNNNNNNNNNNNNNNNNNNNNNNNNNNNNNNNNNNNNNNNNNNNNNNNNNNNNNNNNNNNNNNNNNNNNNNNNNNNNNNNNNNNNNNNNNNNNNNNNNNNNNNNNNNNNNNNNNNNNNNNNNNNNNNNNNNNNGGCGCGCCGGCCAUGGCGACGCGGCGGCUGCGCUCGCCGGAGGAGCGUGCAGCAGGAUGAAUCCCGCGCGCUACCCCGUCGAGCGUGGCCCCGGCGUCCGCGCAGAUGGCGCUUCAUUCGGUGGGUGAGGGGUGCGCCGGCCACCGCGGCUGUUGGGGUCGACGGCGAUGUGCAGGGCGACGGCCCGUACACGCACGCGUCCGUAACAACGGCGUCAAGGCGCAGGAGCAUUCCGCGCGUCGGCCAGGGCACGACGGCGUUGCGGCGUCUCCGCCCUCACGCAGUGAUACAUCUCCAAAGUAUCUAUAAUUUAUGAAGUAUUCAUGCUAUUAUAUUAUCUGUUUUGGAUGUUUAUGGGCUUUACUAAACACUUUUAUAUUAUUUUUGGGACUAACCUAUUAACCGGAGGCCCAACCCAAAUUGCUGUUUUCUUGCCUAUUUCAGUGUUUCGAAGAAAAGGAAUAUCAAACGGAGUCGAAACGGAAUGAAACCUUCGGAAGAGUUAUUUUUGGAACGGAAGCAAUCCAGGAGACUUGGAGUAGACGUCAGGGAAGCUUCGAGGAAGCCACGAGGCAGGGAGGCGCGCCCUACCCCCUGGGCGCGCCCCCCACCCUCAUGGGCCCCUCGUGGCUCCCCUGGCCGACUUCUUUCGCCUAUAUAUCUCCAUAUACCCUAAAAACAUCGGGGAACACAAUAGAUAGGGAGUUCCGCCGCCGCAAGCCUCUGAAGCCACCAAAAACCAAUCGGGACCCUGUUCCGGCACCGUGCCAGAGGGGGGAUCCCUCACUGGUGGCCAUCUUCAUCAUCCCGGCGCUCUCCAUGACGAGGAGGGAGUAGUUCACCCUCGGGGCUGAGGGUAUGUACCAGUAGCUAUGUGUUUGAUUUCUCUCUCUCGUGUUCUUGAGUUGGCACGAUCUUGAUGUAUCGCGAGCUUUGCUAUUAUAGUUGGAUCUUAUGAUGUUUCUCCCCCUCUACUCUCUUGUAAUGGAUUGAGUUUUCCCUUUGAAGUUAUCUUAUCAGAUUGAGUCUUUAAGGAUUUGAGAACACUUGAUGUAUGUCUUGCAUGUGCUUAUCUGUGGUGACAAUGGGAUAUCACGUGAUCCACUUGAUGUAUGUUUUGGUGAUCAACUUGCGAGUUCCGUGACCUCGUGAACUUAUGCAUAGGGGUUGGCACACGUUUUCGUAUUGACUCUCCGGUAGAAACUUUGGGGCACUCUUUGAAGUUCUUUGUGUUAGUUGAAUAGAUGAAUCUGAGAUUGUGUGAUGCAUAUCGUAUAAUCAUACCCACGGAUACUUGAGGUGACAUUGGAGUAUCUAGGUGACAUUAGGGUUUUGGUUGAUUUGUGUCUUAAGGUGUUAUUCUAGUACGAACUCUAUGAUAGAUCCAACGGAAAGAAUAGCUUCGUGUUAUUUUACUACGGACUCUUGAAUAGAUCGAUCAGAAAGGAUAACUUUGAGGUGGUUUCGUACCCUACAAUAAUCUCUUCGUUUGUUCUCCGCUAUUAGUGACUUUGGAGUGACUCUUUGUUACAUGUUGAGGGAUAGUUAUAUGAUCCAAUUAUGUUAUUAUUGUUGAGAGAACUUGCACUAGUGAAAGUAUGAACCCUAGGCCUUGUUUCAACGCAUUGCAAUAUCGUUUGUGCUCACUUUUAUCAUUAUUUACCUUGCUAUUUUUAUAUUUUCAGAUUACAAAAACCUAUAUCUAUCAUCCAUAUUGCACUUGUAUCACCAUCUCUUCGCCGAACUAGUGCACCUAUACAAUUUACCAUUGUAUUGGGUGUGUUGGGGACACAAGAGACUUUGUUAUUUGGUUGCAGGGUUGCUUGAGAGAGACCAUCUUCAUCCUACGCCUCCCACGGAUUGAUAAACCUUAGGUCAUCCACUUGAGGGAAAUUUGCUACUGUCCUACAAACCUCUGCACUUGGAGGCCCAACAACGUCUACAAGAAGAAGGUUGUGUAGUAGACAUCAAGCUCUUUUCUAGCGCCGUUGCCGGGGAGGUUAGCGCUUGAAGGUAUAUCUUUAGAUCUUGCAAUUGAAUCUUUUAGUUUCUUGUUUUAUCACUAGUUUAGUUUAUAAAAGAAAACUACAAAAAAAUGGAAUUGAGGGUACCUCAUAUGCUUCAUCUUUUUAAUAUCUUUCGUGAAAAUAAGGAUUCCGAUAAUUGUUCUCAAUUGCUAGAGGAAGAAUGCAUUAAAAUGUUUGGCACUAAAUUUUUGAAUGAUGAGCAUGAUUGCAAUGUUGUUAGUAUGAAUUCCUUGAAUAUACAUGAUGCUAAUGAUAUGCAAAGCUACAAGCUUGGGGAUGCUAUGUUUGAUGAAGAUGAUAUUUUUAGUCCCCCAAGUUUUGAUGAGCAAAUUUAUUAUGAUGAAAGCAUGCCUCCUAUUUUUGAUGAUUAUAUUGAUGAAAGUGGAUUUGGAGAGGUCAUGACUUUAUUUAGUGAUGAAUCCACUAUUUCGGAAGAGGUUCCAAUUGAUUAUGAGAACAAAGUUGCUAUCUAUGAUGAUUAUUGUGAUGACAUGUAUGCUAUGAAGAAAAAUGAUAACCAUGAAACUUGUCAUUAUUAUUUUAAUUUUCAAUUGGACUAUGCUUCACAUGAUAAUUAUUUUGUUGAGUUUCCUCCCACUACUAUUCAUGAGAAGAAGUUUGCUUACAUGGAGAGUAAUAAAAUUUAUAUGCAUGUAGAUCAUGAAAAGAAUGCUUUAUGUGAUGGUUAUAUUGUUGAAUUCAUUCAUGAUGCUACUGAAAUUUAUUAUGAGGGAGGAACAUGUGCUUGUAGGAAUUGCAAUAAUACCAAGUUUCCUCUCUAUGUGUUGAAAAUCUUGAAGUUAUGCUUGUUUUACCUUCCUAUGUUAGUUGAUUAUUGUUCCCAUAAGUUGUUUGCUCACAAAGUCCCUAUGCAUAGGAAGUGGGUUAGACUUAAAUGUGCUAGUCAUAUUCUUCAUGAUGCUCUCUUCAUGUUUCAAUUCUUAUCUUUUAUGUGAGCAUCAUAGAAAUCAUCAUGCCUAGCUAGGGGCGUUAAACGUUAGCGCUUGUUGGGAGGCAACCCAAUUUUAUUUUUGUUUCUUGCUUUUUGGUUCUGUUUAGUAAUAACUAAAUCAUCUAGCCUCUGGUUAGAUGUGGUUUUAUAUUUUAAUUAGUGUCUGUGCCAAGUAAGACCUAUAGGAUCUUCUUGGAUGAUAAUUAUUUGAUCUUGCUGAAAAAGAUAGAAACUUUCUGAUCACAAAAACAAUUGUUAAAAAUCACCAGAAAGUGAUAAAAUACUGAUUCCAAUUGCAGUAGAUCAAUAAUCAAAUUAUCUAGGUCUUCCUAUUUUGGCAGAUUUUUCUGAGUUCCAGAAGUUUACGUUUGAUACAGAUUACUACAGACUGUUCUGUUUUUGACAGAUUCUGUUUUCAUUAUGUUGUUUGCUUAUUUUGAUGAAUCUAUGAGUAGUAUCGGAGGGUAUGAAUCAUAGAUAAGUUUUAAUACAGUAGAUAUUACACCAAUAUGAAUCUAGAAUGAGUUCACAACAGUACCUAAAUGGUGAUUUAUUUUCUUAUACUAACGGAGCUUACGAGUUUUCUGUUGAGUUUUGUGUUGUGAAGUUUUCAAGUUUUGGGUAAAGAUUCGAUGGACUAUGGAAUAAGGAGUGGCAAGAGCCUAAGAUUGGGGAUGCCCAGGGCACCCCAAGGUAAUAUUCAAGGACAACCAAGAGCCUAAGCUUGGGGAUGCCCCGGAUGGCAUCCCCUCUUUCGUCUUUGUUCAUCGGUAACUUUACUUGGAGCUAUAUUUUUAUUCACCACAUGAUAUGUGUUUUGCUUGGAGCAUCAUUUUAUUUUGUUAGUAUUUGCUUGAUGUUAUUUAGAAUAAUGUUUUGCAUCUCUAUUUUCAAUAAAAAUGUCAAGGAUAGCCUUUACCAUGCUUAUUUUGCAAGUAUACAUGUUGCUGUUUCAAAACAAAAAGUUUACCGCUGUUGCAAAAAUUCCCUAGAAAAGUCAGAAUAUGAUAAAAUGUUGAAACUUUUUGCAUAUUGAGCUAUGAUAAAUUUUAUACAGUGUGGUAGAAUUUCAUAAUGUUUGGAGUUAGGGAAGUAUGAUGAAUCUUGCAUUCUUUACAGACUGUACUGUUUUGGCAGAUUGCUGUUAUGCUUGCAUUGUUUGCAUAUGUUUGCUUGUUUAAUGAUUCUAUUUGAGGAUAGGAGUAUUAAAUAUGCAAAGGUAUUUAGUAUACAAUGUUGAAUAAUAAUUUUAGUGAUUUGUUACAGUAGAAAAUGAUAAGGUUUUUGCAUUGGUUUAUACUAACUUAUCUCACGAGUUCUUGUUGAGUUUGGUGUGGAUGAAGCUUUCGAGAUUUAGGAAACCGUGAUAUAAAAGGAAUUAAGGAGACGCAAAAUUUCAAGCUUGGGGAUGCCCAAGGCACCCCAAGAUAAUAUUUCAAGAAUUCUCAAGCAUCUAAGCUUGGGGAUGCCUCGGUAGGCAUCCCACCUUUCUUCUUCAACAAUUAUCGGUUAGUAUCGGUUGAGCCUAAAUUUUAGCUUCUUCACAUGAUGAGUGCUAUCCUUGAAAUGUUGUUUUAUUUUGGUUUGCUUGUUGUUUGAAUAAUAUCCCAAGAUCUGAAAUUCUUAAAUGAGAGAGAGUCCUCACAUAGCUACAUAAUUAUUUAACUACUUAUUGAUCUUCACUUAUAUCUUUUUGGAGUAGUUUUUCAUUUACUCGUGUGAUUCACUUAUACCCUAUGAGUAAAUGGUUGAAUGAUUUGAAUGUCAUAAAUCUGAAAUUAUAUAUGUUUCAUGUGCCCUUCCCAUGGGGAGUAAUGCCUUCACAUAUAAGAAGUAGAGGUGGUAAAUUUUUUGAAGGUUAGCAAACAUUGUAUUGGUCACUUGAACAAUUCAUGAAAGAAUAUUGAAGGAAGAGAGAUUUCACAUAUAAAUAUACUAUCUUGGACAUCUUCUAUGAUUGUGAUCCCCAUUAAUUAUUUUCAAACCUGAGCAAAUUAGUUGAAGUUGGACAAGGAAGACAACAUAAUGAGUUAUGCUUGGGUAUAUUUGUAUAGAAGCUAUAUUGUUAUGGAUCCUCUAACAUGUGGUGCUUGCUAUUUAGAAUCCUUUGCUAGCCAAAAUAUCUGUACUAAGCGGGAAUACUGCUUGUGCAUCCAAAAUCCUUGAACCAAGUUCCUUCCAUGAGUGUCCACCAUAUCUACCUAUAUGCGGUAUUUACCUGUCGUUCCAAGUAAAUUUGCAUGUGCCAGACUCUAAACCUUCAAAUAAUAAUCUGUUUUGUAUGCUCGAAUCGCUCAUGUAGCGACUAGGGCUGUCAGUAUCUUCCAUGCUAGGUGGGUUAUUCUCACGAUGAGUGGACUCCGCUCACCAUUCACGAGAAAAUGGCUGGUAACUGGGAUGCCCAGUCCUAUGAUCAAAAGAUCAAAAACAAAUUCGCAAAUAAUUUAAACAAACUACCCCAGGAUUGUUGAUAGUUGGACGGCACCCGUUGUUUCGGACAAGCCGUGGAGUGUGAUUGUUGGUGGAGGGGGAGUAAAAUCUUUACCUUUCUGUUUGGGAACUGCCUAUAAUGUAUCUAGUAUGGAAGAUAUUGGGAACUCUUGGUCAUUAUGUUGACAAUGAACGCAUACCUCUCAAAAUUAUUUUCAUCUCUGUUUUAGCUUCGAGCUCUGGCACCUCUGCAAAUCCCUGCUUCCCUCUGCGAAGGGUCUAGCUUUUACUUUUAUGCAAGAGUUAGUAGUAUUCCUUCUCAUUCCAACCUACUUUUUAGGUGGCAAGCAUCAUGUGGUGGAGAAAGAUCUAAGCAUAUAUGGCCAUUCAAAUAUAUUUGAGCAUGAAUUAUUAUUGUUGACAUUACCCUUGAGGUAAAAGGUUGGGAGGCGAAACAUUAAGCCCCUAUCUUUCUUUGUGUUCGAUGAAUACUAUUUGUUCUAAAAAUAUGCUUCGAGUGGUAGCAAUCAUGGAAGACUAUAUGAUAGUUGAGUAUGUGGGAUUUGCUAAAUCAAAGCUCUUACAUAGACCCUUCCUAAAAAUAAGAUGAAUUGCAAUUGUUUGAUGACUGAGAACAUAGUUUGUUAGUUUUCAAGAAAGUUUAUGGUCUAUGCUUUAACAUGUGAAUAGCUUGAAAAAAUUUAUGAGUUGAGCUACUGUUAUGACAUAUAAUGAUGCUAGAAAAGGUGAUUGAAAUUAUCAUUGAUCAAACUUGUGCACCUGCUAGCAUUCACACUUCAUAAAUUAUUUAUUUUAUCAUUUACCUACUCGAGGAUGAGCAGGAAUUAAGCUUGGGGAUGCUGAUACGUCUCCAACGUAUCUAUAAUUUAUGAAGUAUUCGUGCUAUUAUAUUAUCUAUUUUGGAUGUUUAUGGGCUUUACUAAACACUUUUAUAUUAUUUUUUGGACUAACCUAUUAACCGGAGGCCCAGCCCAAAUUGUUGUUUUCUUGCCUAUUUCAGUGUUUUGAAGAAAAGGAAUAUCAAACGGAGUUCAAACGGAAUGAAACCUUCGGGAGAGUUAUUUUUGGAACGGAAGCAAUCCAGGAGACUUGGAGUGGACGUCAGGGAAAUUCGAGGAAGCAACGAGGUAGGGAGGCGCGCCCUACCCCCCCUAGGCGUGCCCCCCACCCUCGUGGGCCCCUCGUGGCUCCCCUGACCGACUUCUUUCGCCUAUAUAUGUCCAUAUACCCUAAAAACAUCGGGAAACACAAUAGAUCGGGAGUUCCGCCGCUGCAAGCCUCUGUAGCCACCAAAAACCAAUCGGGACCAUGUUCCGGCACCCUGCCGGAGGGGGGAUCCCUCACCGGUGGCCAUCUUCAUCAUCCCGGCGCUCUCCAUGACGAGGAGGGAGUAGUUCACCCUCGGGGCUGAGGGUAUGUACUAGUAGCUAUGUGUUUGAUCUCUCUCUCUCUCUCGUGUUCUUGAGUUGGCACGAUCUUGAUGUAUCGCGAGCUUUGCUAUUAUAGUUGGAUCUUAUGAUGUUUCUCCCCCUCUACUCUCUUGUAAUAGAUUGAGUUUUCCCUUUGAAGUUAUCUUAUCGGAUUGAAUCUUUAAGGAUUUGAGAACACUUGAUGUAUGUCUUGCAUGUGCUUAUCUGUGGUGACAAUGGGAUAUCACGUGAUCCACUUGAUGUAUGUUUUGGUGAUCAACUCGCGAGUUCCGUGACCUCGUGAACUUAUGCAUAGGGGUUGGCACACAUUUUCGUCUUGACUCUCCGGUAGAAACUCUAGGGCACUCUUUGAAGUUCUUUGUGUUGGUUGAAUAGAUGAAUAUGAGAUUGUGUGAUGCAUAUCGUAUAAUCAUACCCACGGAUACUUGAGGUGACAUUGGAGUAUCUGAAGGAAAUAUGCCCUAGAGGCAAUAAUAAAGUAUUAUAUAUUUCCUUAUAUCAUGAUAAAUGUUUAUUAUUCAUGCUAGAAUUGUAUUAACCGGAAACAUAAUACAUGUGUGAAUACAUAGACAAAUAGAGUGUCACUAGUAUGCCUCUACUUGACUAGCUCGUUAAUCAAAGAUGGUUAUGUUUCCUAGCCAUAGACAUAAGUUGUCAUUUGAUUAACGAGAUCACCUCAUUAGGAGAAUGACGUGAUUGACUUGACCCAUUCCGUUAGCUUAGCACCCGAUCGUUUAGUAUGUUGCUAUUGCUUUCUUCAUGACUUAUACAUGUUCCUCUGACUAUGAGAUUAUGCAACUCCCGUUUACCGGAGGAACACUUUGUGUGCUACCAAACGUCACAACGUAAAUGGGUGAUUGUAAAGGUGCUCUACAGGUGUCUCCAAAGGUACUUAUUGGGUUGGCGUAUUUCGAGAUUAGGAUUUGUCACUCCGAUUGUCGGAGAGGUAUCUCUGGGCCCACUCGGUAAUGCACAUCACUAUAAGCCUUGCAAGCAUUGUGACUAAUGAGUUAGUUGCGAGAUGAUGUAUUACGGAACGAGUAAAGAGACUUGCCGGUAACGAGAUUGAACUAGGUAUCGAGAUACCGACGAUCAAAUCUCGGGCAAGUAACAUACCGGUGACAAAGGGAACAACGUAUGUUGUUAUGCGGUCUGACCGAUAAAGAUCUUCAUAGAAUAUGUGGGAGCCAAUAUGGGCAUCCAGGUCCCGCUAUUGGUUAUUGACCGGAGACGUGUCUCGGUCAUGUCUACAUAGUUCUCGAACCCGUAGGGUCCGCAAGCUUAAAGUUACGAUGACAGUUUUAUUAUGAGUUUAUGUAUGUUGAUGUACCGAAGGAGUUCGGAGUCCCGGAUGAGAUCGGGGACAUGACGAGGAGUCUCGAAAUGGUCGAGACGUAAAGAUCGAUAUAUUGGACGACUAUAUUCGGACUUCGGAAAGGUUCCGAGUGAUUCGGGUAUUUUUCGGAGUACCGGAGAGUUACGGGAAUACGUAUUGGGCCUUAUUGGGCCAUACGGGAAAGAAGGAAAAGGGCCUCAAGGGUGGCCGCACCCCUUCCCUUGGUCUGGUCCGAAUUGGACUAGGGAAGGGGGGCGCCCCCUUCCUUCCUUCUCUUUUUCCCUUCCUCUUUUCCUAUUCCAUAUGGGAGGUGGAAUCCUACUAGGACUAGGGAGUCCUAGUAGGACUCCACACUUGGUGCGCCCCCUCCUAGGGCCGGCCUCCUCCUCCCUUGCUCCUUUAUAUACGGGGGCAGGGGGGCACCCCAGAGACACAACUAUUGAUCCUUGAGAUCUCUUAGCCGUGUGCGGUGCCCCCCUCCACCAUAUUACACCUCGAUAAUACCGUUGCGGAGCUUAGGCGAAGCCCUGCGUCGGUGGAACAUCAUCAUCGUCACCAUGCCGUCGUGCUGACGAAACUCUCCCUCAACACUUGGCUGGAUCGGAGUUCGAGGGACGUCAUCGAGCUGAACGUGUGUAGAACUCGGAGGUGCCGUACGUUCGGUACUUGAUCGGUCGGAUCGUGAAGACGUACGACUACAUCAACCGCGUUGUGAUAACGCUUCCGCUGUCGGUCUACGAGGGUACGUGGACAACACUCUCCCCUCUCAUUGCUAUGCAUCACCAUGAUCUUGCGUGUGCGUAGGAAAAUUUUGAAAUUACUACGUUCCCCAACAGUAUCUAGGUGACAUUAGGGUUUUGGUUGAUUUGUGUCUUAAGGUGUUGUUCUAGUACGAACUCUAUGAUAGAUCCAACGGAAAGAAUAGCUUCGUGUUAUUUUACUACGGACUCUUGAAUAGAUCGAUCAGAAAGGAUAACUUUGAGGUGGUUUCGUACCCUACAAUAAUCUCUUCGUUUGUUCUCCGCUAUUAGUGACUUUGGAGUGACUCUUUGUUACAUGUUGAGGGAUAGUUAUAUGAUCCAAUUAUGUUAUUAUUGUUGAGAGAACUUGCACUAGUGAAAGUAUGAACCCUAGGCCUUGUUUCAACGCAUUGCAAUAUCAUUUGUGCUCACUUUUAUCAUUAGUUACCUUGCUAUUUUUAUAUUUUCAGAUUACAAAAACCUAUAUCUAUCAUCCAUAUUGCACUUGUAUCACCAUCUCUUCGCCGAACUAGUGCACCUAUAUAAUUUACCAUUGUAUUGGGUGUGUUGGGGACACAAGAGACUCUUUGUUAUUUGGUUGCAGGGUUGCUUGAGAGAGACCAUCUUCAUCCUACGCCUCCCACGGAUUGAUAAACCUUAGGUCAUGCACUUGAGGGAAAUUUGCUACUGUCCUACAAACCUCUGCACUUGGAGGCCCAACAACAUCUACAAGAAGAAGGUUGUGUAGUAGACAUCACGCAGCGGUGGGCAUCGUGCGGGCCCCGAAGGAAAAAGGCGGCUACGCGGCGCAUUGAGUGAGCAUUUCUUCUCAUUCUCCCCCAAAAUCGUAUUCAUCAGUGCUUAAUUGGUGAAAAAACAAGGCCUAAUUGAAGAAUUAGGGUUCUACCGAAAUUGGGGAUAAAUGCUAGGGUUCUUAAACAUGAGGGGUUGCUACUGUUGACUUGCGUGUAUCCCUCUGCCUUCUAUUUUGCUAAUGCAUAUGGAAACAGGACUUCAACAUGAUCAAUUUUAAUUAACUUAACAUGAAGGUGAGCAUUAGAUCUUAACUUAGAUUAAUUAAAAAAUAUGAACAUAGGUGGCAGUACUGAUCCGUAGCAAAUUAGAAUUAAAACAUGAUGAUUUACAGAGGGCAUCAAGACAGUAGCAUGCAUAUUUGGGCUAACCAGGGGCUAAAACUUUCAAUCUUGAUCAUGAACCCUAAACCUGACAUUGAUCUAAACAUGAUAAUGAUCUACUGAUCAACAAUAAAGGGGUCUAUUGCAAUCAAGAUUGGCGACUGAUACCAUUGUUGGAUUAAUUAUGCAUCUAUGGGAUGUCAUUAGCAGGAUCAAAUUGCAUCUAGAUCACCCAAUAACCAUGAACAGAGAAGGGUUCAGAGAUCCUUUACAUGUCACGGGAGUGGACAUGAUCGCCUGCUCGGUGCAGGCGUGAUGCAGGGGUGAUGUAGUCGAAGCAGAGGUUCUCCUCGACGUCCUGAUUCCUUCAGGACACCACCGGGACUGGCUGGGGACGGUAGCGGCGGCGGCUGGAGUAGGUCUUCCCGUUGCUACAGCGCUCCCCCUGAUCGGAUGGGGUGAGAGAAUAUCGGGAGGGGAGUGAAACCGUACGAGAAUUGUGAUCGCACAGGCUACCAACCCUCUCCCGUACCCCCUUUUAUCUAGCGCUGGCGACAGGGGACCUAAACCAUCAGUUGGUUUGGGUGCCCCCGAUCAGGGCGCCUCAGUUGGGAUAAAAAGCCCACGUACGUUGGUGCGUGGGCCCUUUUCAUUAACGUUAUCUUCCCUUUUUCUGUUAGACUAAUAGAUCUAACUGGCAUGUUAAGCCGUCAGAUCAAACCAACACUCCUCCCCUCGCGGCCGGGUGCUCCUUCCCUCCGAGCUCCCGCGCUGCUCCUCUCCUUGCGGCGACCCGCCUCCAUGCGCCUGCGACGCCCGCGCCGGCUGGUCCGCCGCCCGCUCCCUUCCCCGGCACGAUGUGGGUGCUGCCUCAGCUGCGAGGUACUCGAGGACGGCGACGAGGUAGACGGGGGCGCCGGAGCCGACGCGCUGGGCGUAGCGGCGAGGCAGCGGCCGACGGGCUUGUGAGAGAGAGAGAGAGGGGGGGAUGGGCGUGUGUGGAGGGGAGCACGUGGUGGGCCAGGGAAGGAAAGGGAAGAGAGAGGAGAGAGAUACUAGCAGGUGGGCCAGCACCUGCAAAACGACAAAAAUAGCCCCCCAGACGCCCCCCAGCUCCCUGGGUUUGCGUUGGGGUCGCCGGCUCUAUUUUUGACCAAAUCCGGCGCUAAUCGAGCUCGUGGGGCGUGCGUGGGGCUUUUUUCGUCCGCCGGCGAUGAAAAAGUGCUCCUGGAGGCCUUCCGGGGGACGGGUGGAGAUUCUCUAAGGUAGGUGUGAGUGUGACCGUGACCGGUGCCGGCACACCCAGCACGACCGAGAUGAGAUCCUCGUCGCUUGAUGGAGCCCUGCCGCGGAUACAAACUCGUCAGCGCGAUCACCGCCGUCCAGUGGAAGGCGAGAGCGUGCGUGUGUGUGGUGGGUUUCAACGGCUGAGCACGGCGAGGCAGACACAUCAAUGCAUGCACCUGGUAAUGCCAAGGUCUUUCUCUGCUUGGCGUGUGAGUCAUUAGUCACCGGACGAUGACGAACCUCCCCGCCGAUUUUUCUUCAAUCUGAUUGUUACGGUGAGGUGCUGGUCCAAUAUUUUGACACGGCCGAGGAGACGCAGGAGUAGGCAAAAAGACUUGUCGGUCUGGUCAAUGCAAGAAAGCGGAGCUCGUGCUUCCAGAGACAUACCUGAUUUUUGACAGAGGUUCGAGCUUUGCUUACCACGCCUGCUCCUCAUCAAACAGGUCUGCCUGUCAACGAAAUUGACUGUUCGCUGCUUUCUUCGCGAUCAGAAGAAUUGAACGAGGGCGGUUGCGGUGAGGCGUGGAUGCACUAUUGUCCAGAAUUGAACGAGGGUGUAGCAGUUGGCUGAUGCUGACUGCACGUUUCUACACCUUGUAAAAAGGAAUCUCUCCAAUCCCCGCAAAAAGUAGCCGCGGAACACAAACGGGGCUUGCCCUUAUCGACGGCAACAAAGCCUUUCGGUCUCAAACAAGCUGAAGUAGUAGGCUCAAACAAGUUGAACCCAUAAGAUCUCGAAAUCAAACCAUGGUUCUAGCACAUGGAUAGCUAACUUCGGCACACCCUCUCCAUGGCUAAUUCUUUGAUGAUAUUUCAGUCCUUCAGAUCCCUCUUUACGCAUCUAAAAUCCAGAACCAGACCAGCCCUUUUAUAACGGAUCUAAAAUCAAGAACCAGAACAGCACAAGUCCACAGCUGGGAAUUCAUGAACAAUAUUGUAAUUCAAAGGCCAAGACAAAACUUGCACACACUUUCUCCAUUACGUUACAUUUCCUUUCUUUGUACAUUGUCACCUAGUUGUACAACCCAAGACAACACAAGCUCGCUAACACUCCUCUCCACAUGCUAACCAAAAGAAAAAGAAAAAGUUAAAAGGAAUACAUAAUCACACAAAGAACCAAAGCCAGGAAACACCCAAAUACAAGGGAAUCGUUUGCUUAUAUACUAUACACAAACCUACACAAACAAACGGGACCCCCCAAAAAUCUCACUCCCCUACCAAACAAAAUGUCCAUAUAAAACAGAAGAAUGUUAC
This 33807-nucleotide long non-coding RNA is filed under the name Triticum aestivum (bread wheat). RNAcentral's name for it is "long non-coding RNA (TAES_LNC024429)". The record is from RNAcentral. Lineage: Eukaryota; Viridiplantae; Streptophyta; Magnoliopsida; Poales; Poaceae.